AGAGUUUGAUCCUGGCUCAGAUUGAACGCUGGCGGCAUGCUUUACACAUGCAAGUCGAACGGCAGCACGGGUGCUUGCACCUGGUGGCGAGUGGCGAACGGGUGAGUAAUGCACCGGAACGUACCCAGUAAUGGGGGAUAACACAUCGAAAGAUGUGCUAAUACCGCAUACGCCCUGAGGGGGAAAGCGGGGGAUCGUAAGACCUCGCGUUAUGUUAUUGAGCGCGGAGCGGAUAAGCUAGUUUUUGAGGUAAGAGCUCACCAAGGCGACGAUCCGUAGCUGGUCUGAGAGGACGACCAGCCACACUGGGACUGAGACACGGCCCAGACUCCUACGGGAGGCAGCAGUGGGGAAUUUUGGACAAUGGGCGCAAGCCUGAUCCAGCCAUGCCGCGUGAGUGAAGAAGGCCUUCGGGUUGUAAAGCUCUUUCGCAAGGAAAGAAAACUUAUCUACUAA
Molecule: ribosomal RNA, 456 nt
Filed under: uncultured bacterium
Lineage: Bacteria
Description: bacterial SSU rRNA
Rfam family: Bacterial small subunit ribosomal RNA
Source: RNAcentral